AGAUUGAACGCUGGCGGCAGGCCUAACACAUGCAAGUCGAGCGGCAGCACGGGUACUUGUACCUGGUGGCGAGCGGCGGACGGGUGAGUAAUGCCUAGGAAUCUGCCUGAUAGUGGGGGAUAACGUUCGGAAACGGACGCUAAUACCGCAUACGUCCUACGGGAGAAAGUGGGGGAUCUUCGGACCUCACGCUAUCAG
This 198-nucleotide ribosomal RNA is filed under the name uncultured soil bacterium. Its description in RNAcentral is "partial 16S ribosomal RNA". It matches the Rfam family "Bacterial small subunit ribosomal RNA", at positions 26 to 224 of the family's 1533-position model. The record is from RNAcentral.